RNAcentral lists this ribosomal RNA (492 nucleotides) under uncultured bacterium. RNAcentral's name for it is "partial 16S ribosomal RNA". It matches the Rfam family "Bacterial small subunit ribosomal RNA", at positions 29 to 507 of the family's 1533-position model. The record is from RNAcentral.
AGUGAACGCUGGCGGUAGGCCUAACACAUGCAAGUCGAACGGCAGCACAGUAAGAGCUUGCUCUUACGGGUGGCGAGUGGCGGACGGGUGAGGAAUACAUCGGAAUCUACUUUUUCGUGGGGGAUAACGUAGGGAAACUUACGCUAAUACCGCAUACGACCUACGGGUGAAAGCAGGGGAUCUUCGGACCUUGCGCGAUUGAAUGAGCCGAUGUCGGAUUAGCUAGUUGGCGGGGUAAAGGCCCACCAAGGCGACGAUCCGUAGCUGGUCUGAGAGGAUGAUCAGCCACACUGGAACUGAGACACGGUCCAGACUCCUACGGGAGGCAGCAGUGGGGAAUAAUGGACAAUGGGCGCAAGCCUGAUCCAGCCAUACCGCGUGGGUGAAGAAGGCCUUCGGGCUGUAAAGCCCUUUUGUUGGGAAAGAAAAGCAGCAGGUUAAUACCCCGCUGUUCUGACGGUACCCAAAGAAUAAGCACCGGCUAACUUCGUG